Cyprinodon tularosa is the source of this 381-nucleotide non-coding RNA. The record is from the annotation of a RefSeq genome assembly. NCBI's taxonomy places the organism in Eukaryota, Metazoa, Chordata, Actinopteri, Cyprinodontiformes, Cyprinodontidae.
AUGGCUGCUACAAUGAUGAUUCCUCAUGAGGUCCUGGUUGCUUUUCUCAUCCUGACACUUAACUUGACAGGUACCGAUGGUGAAACACUGACUGAGUCUGAACCAGUGCUUAAAAGACCUGGAGAAUCUCACAGACUGACCUGCACAUAUUCUGGGUUUAGUAGCGAUCCUAGCAUGGCUUGGAUCAGACAGGCAGCUGGGAAAGGACUGGAAUGGAUUGCUUGGAUCUACUACAACAGUGCCUACCUUUCCCACUCUGACUCAGUCAAAAACCGUUUCACCAUCUCCAGAGACAACAGCAGAAAUCAGGUUUAUCUGCAGAUGAACAGUCUGACAGCUGGAGAUUCCGCUGUUUAUUUCUGUGUUCGAGAGGCACAGUGA